Homo sapiens (human) is the source of this 117-nucleotide non-coding RNA. It matches the Rfam family "Metazoan signal recognition particle RNA". Rfam says of the family: The signal recognition particle (SRP) is a universally conserved ribonucleoprotein. It is involved in the co-translational targeting of proteins to membranes. Lineage: Eukaryota; Metazoa; Chordata; Mammalia; Primates; Hominidae. The record is from Rfam.
GCCAGGUGCGGUGGCUCACACCUGUAAUCCCAGCACUUUGGGAGGCUGAGGCGGGUGGAUCACCUGAGGUCAGGAGUUCGAGACCAGCCUGACCAACAUGGUGAAACCCUGUCUCUA